RNAcentral lists this ribosomal RNA (355 nucleotides) under uncultured bacterium. Its description in RNAcentral is "partial 16S ribosomal RNA". It matches the Rfam family "Bacterial small subunit ribosomal RNA", at positions 338 to 690 of the family's 1533-position model. The record is from RNAcentral.
CCUACGGGUGACUGCAGUGAGGAAUAUUGGGCAAUGGACGCAAGUCUGAACCAGCCAUGCCGCGUGCAGGAAGAAGGCUCUAUGAGUUGUAAACUGCGUUUGUACGAGGGUAAACGCAGAUACGCGGAUAUGUCUGAAAGUAUCGUACGAAUAAGGAUCGGCUAACUCCGUGCCAGCAGCCGCGGUAAUACGGAGGUUUCACGCGUUAUCCGGAUUUCUUGGGUUUAUAGGGUGCGUAGGCGGUCGGAUAAGUUAGAGGUGAAAUCCCGCGGCUCCACUUCGGACUUGCCUGUGAUACUGUUCGUCUAGAGCGUAGUUGCUGUAGGCGGAAUGUCUUGUGUAGCGGUGAAAUGCU